UUCCGCCGGAGAAGGAUCGUAGAAAGGAGAACUGGGCGAUUACUCAUCAACCUGGGCGACACGCGAAUUGUCAAUUGCCCGGAAAGGAGUUAUUAUCACAAGAUAUUUUCUUUUUAGAUUUGCCAUUGGGUUAUCAACACAUCUUGCUGGCUCGUGCCUCGAUGGUCUUAUUCUGCGUUGUUAUAAGGUAUUUUACAAUUCCUAAGCGUUAAUAUUAAUAUUAAUAUUGUUUUAAAAAGGUUGAUAAUUGAUAUCUAGACUAAGGCUCACUACGAUCCAUUGUUUUUAGCUGUUCGACUCUUUGAUUAACGUAAAGCUUAAAACUGAAAGAUUUUAAAACAAACAGUUUACAUGACGUUUCUAAACAAACAAUAAUUUGUGACUUUAAUUAAGAUGUGUUCAAUUUAAACGUGGUUGACUGAUCGGUGCUAUACGAAGCAAUUUUUUUUUUCAAAAUCACGCUAGUUGCCAUCUAACGGUGAAUGAUACAUUUAAACGAAAUAAAAGAAGGGAAGUAAAACCAAUUUAAGCUCUUUUUGAAAAAAAUUAUUUUUCAUUGGGCUGCAUUCGACGAAUUAAUUUCGAAUUUUAUGGUUCAUCCGCCUUGCUGACUUCCUCUAAUUCCUCUCCGCUAUUAGAUUCCAGAAAAAUGUUCUAAUUCCUGAGGUCAACCAUUUGGAAAGCUUGACGAGUGUUCACGGUACUCUAGGUUUUACUAGCCUACCAAUCAAACAGAGACCGAACUCGUUAAAUGGUAAAAAUGCGAGAAGAAUUAAUUUUUGAUUAUAAGUUUCAUUAGAAUGGGUUUAUCCUUUCAGAACCCGAAAUUUCUACGCACCUCUUUUUAUCUAGGUGAUCACUCAGUUAUUCUUAACGCACAGGCACAGCUAUAGGUUAUUAAAUUUCCUCGCUACCAGUGUGUAUAUCGGACAAAAAAGAAUUUUGUGUUUGUUAUGCUAAGAUUUUUACUAGCCAUUUGUUUUAACAGAUGGUAGAACAAGUCCACACAAUUUGUCAAAUAUGGGUAUUUUUCAAACAUAUUUCUGGCUUAAAGGGACAGCGCGCACCUGCCAUAUCUACCUACCUACCUAACCUCUGGCUUAAAGAUUAGAUUACAUCAUUACAGACAAGAAAGAAUCAUCCCUCACCCCCCCCCCCAAUUGUUCCGCCAUUUGUAUCUCCAUAAGACAAUAUCCGCAAGGGGUUUUACUCGUAAUCAAAGAAACCUACGCAAUAUAGCCUUUUCGUCGUAUUACAACUACAACACAAGUAAACUAAGCACAUGUUCAUAAAACGAAAAAAUGAACUUUAGGUAAGAAAAAAUUGCGCUUUAUAAACUAUUUCUUAAUAUUUAAAAAAUGAAGGGAUUUUGCUGUAAAUCGCAUUUUAGUGACGCUUCAGCUGUUAGCUAAAUUUAUAAAGAAAUCCGUACUUAAAGAGGGUUUCUGUUACAAAUAAUUUAGACAUAUCCGAUCAUUUAUCUUUAAAGACAUUGUCGAGCGCCUUGGGGGUUAUUAACUAAUUGAAAUUACAAUGUAAUGUAAUUUCAAUUACGAAUUACAAUAACUUCGGUUGCAAGGAGGUCGUCCUCCAAAUAUCGGAUAGUCAAACGUCUUAAAGGAUACUUGAUAUAAUUUUUGGACGAGUGUUUUCAAUGAAAACACUUCCUGAAAAAAAUAAUGUUAAACACUACCACAACAUAAUUAAGAAUACAAUUCUAUCACAACUUAUAAAUACUUCUGAAAUCUUUCAAUCUGUCCUAAGUGAGCAGCAUUAAUUACUUCGCUGUAUUUAGAUUGAGUUAGGUUAGCCUCAUCGCAUUGGUUUUUGGUUUCUGGCACAAUGUAAGUUCUGAAUGUUUUCUUCCAUGUUUCUUCGUCAUUUUAUUUGUGUUUAUGGAAUUAAUUCCACGCCAUUUUAAGUGUAAGUUACUUUACUGAUUUUAGUGCUUGCACAGUUUAUUAUUGUACUCAUAUUUCGUUUCUACUCGAAAUUCUAGAUUUUGGGUAUCUUACUGCUUAACAAGUUCGAUAAUCAUCAUUUUCAUUCAUGUGUGAUAACUUCCUUCCAUAUACCAUCACUGACCCCUUUUUUUCAAGUGGCUUUAUUUAGUCUUUAAUCAUUUUCAGUUGUCAAAUUAGUCAGUUUCAGUUACUUUGCACAUCCCUGUUAAAAUGUACUGGUAGUUAUUGUGUGGUAACCUUUUGGUGAUGACUGACGAUAACUAUUCCACCAACAGAGCUCACUUGUUAAUUUUUCGAUAAUUGCUUUUUUUUUAAAUCUACUAAAUGUAUUUCACGGAGAUGACGAAUAUUUGUUUAUUUUUCGUCCGUUGAUGCCAAGUGCUGUCACUAGGUGGCUAAAUAUUUCAGUGUGUUUAGGGAUUGAACUAUUCAGCCCUAGUGUGUUGGUAUUAGGGGAGGGGAGGGGGCAUCAAACCAAAGUUUUGAGACGACCGAUUCCCCAUUAUUUCUUUUCUAUCGAGACGCUGUCGAGGAUGGUUACGUUGAUCAUUGCGGGGACUUUCUUUCCUGAUAUGUUCUUCAUAAAAAAGGUUGGUGGAAAUUGUUCUCAACGUGCAGUGUCAAGUUAACAAGAUACCUCUGAUCAUGCCUUUGAGGUCUCUAUCAUGUUAGGAGAUGAAAUGUGAAGAAAACGGAAGGCAAUCUGAAAUGGUAAAAUCUACUUGUAAUAAGACAACUUGAGUAGGAAUUCUCGAGUCUGGUGUUGGAGCUGUUAAUGGUGGUGAUUUCUGGUGUGCAAUGGUGUGGCAGUCAUUUUUCGAUGAAGAGAUGUGCUGAAAUGGUUCUUCUGCAGACUUGGAAGUUCAACAUCAGACUUCAUUUUACCAUGCUCUUGUCCAUGCAGUGUUGAGCUCUUGUGCAAAAUAGUUGGGGUUUCCUGAAGGCUGUCUGGCAUUUUGUUGGUGUUUUCUCUUGCUGCCUGUACCCACAUUAAGUUCAAUCGUACGCCGCCGUUCCAGACUUGAUCCAUUGGUGAAGCCGAGAAAAAGUUGCUGAAAUUCAAGACUGAAAAAAUUAAUCAGACUUUGACAAUUUACAAAUGCAUAUCUGUUGUCCCUUUUCCCUGAGUAAACAGCAUGUCGGCCGUUGGUUAUUCGUCUGGUCGUACGGGAAAUAGCAAUGAGAAAUUCUGAUGUAUAUUUUUGGAGAAAGAUUAGUUUGACCACGAAAUAAUUCUCCCUUAUAAUUUGAUAUCAACUCUUCAUCCUUUAUAUAACGUUUCAAAUUGUUCGCUCUUCAUAUGUGUAUGUCCAAUAUUAUUACUUCGCAAAUAAUAAAAUAUGAAAUCAAA
Long non-coding RNA from Daphnia pulex (common water flea), 3315 nucleotides. RefSeq lists it as uncharacterized. The record is from RefSeq and is a predicted model, not a curated record. The transcript has 4 exons. Lineage: Eukaryota; Metazoa; Arthropoda; Branchiopoda; Diplostraca; Daphniidae.